UGGGGAAUUUUUGGCAAUGGGGGCAACCCUGACCAAGCAACGCCGCGUGGGUGAUGAAGUCUCUUGGGACGUAAAACCCUUUCGACGGGGAAGAAACCGCAAGGUUGACGGUACCCGUAGAAGAAGCCCCGGCUAACUCCGUGCCAGCAGCCGCGGUAAUACGGGGGGGGCAAGCGUUGUUCGGAAUUACUGGGCGUAAAGGGCGCGUAGGCGGUUCGCUAAGUCGGAUGUGAAAACUCUGGGCUCAACCCAGAGCCUGCAUCCGAAACUGGCGGGCUAGAGUUCUGGAGGGGGUAGCGGAAUUCCUGGUGUAGCGGUGAAAUGCGUAGAUAUCAGGAGGAACACCGGUGGCGAAGGCGGCUACCUGGACAGAAACUGACGCUGAGGCGCGAAAGCUAGGGGAGCAAACAGGAUUAGAUACCCUGGUAGUCCUAGCCCUAAACGAUGGAUACUUGGUGUGACGGGGAUUGAAUCCCGUCGUGCCGAAGCUAACGCAUUAAGUAUCCCGCCUGGGGAGUACGGUCGCAAGGCUG
RNAcentral lists this ribosomal RNA (533 nucleotides) under uncultured Acidobacteriota bacterium. RNAcentral's name for it is "bacterial SSU rRNA". It matches the Rfam family "Bacterial small subunit ribosomal RNA", at positions 355 to 896 of the family's 1533-position model. The record is from RNAcentral. Lineage: Bacteria; Pseudomonadati; Acidobacteriota.